AGAGACCCUACCCUCACAAUACCAACACUGUGCACUUUUAAUCUUAGCGAGGCUUAUUCCAUUACGGAAUUUGCUUUGCGGAUUUUCAUUUAAACACUAGUCAAAGAAUGUAACAAAAAUCAUAACAAAAAAAAACUUUCAACAACGGAUCUCUUGGCUCUCGCAUCGAUGAAGAACGCAGCGAAAUGUGAUAAGUAAUGUGAAUUGCAGAAUUCAGUGAAUCAUCGAAUCUUUGAACGCACCUUGCGCUCUCUGGUAUUCCGGAGAGCAUGCCUGUUUGAGUGUCAUGAACUCUUCAACCCACCAGUUCCUUGUUGAACUGAUUGGUGUUUGGUUUCUGAGUGUUUGCUUUAGUUUUCGGACCCAAGCUCGCUCGUAAUACAUUAGCAUUUCAAUUUCGAAAUUUCGGAUUGACUCAGCGUAAUAGACUAUUCGCUGAGGACACCUUUUCAUUAGGGUGGCCGAGAUUAUGAUAACAGUAGAUGCUUCAAAUCCCACUAGUCAUUUUUUAUUGAUUAGACCUCAAAUCAGGUAGGACUACCCGCUGAACUUAAGCAUAUCAAUAAG
This 567-nucleotide ribosomal RNA is filed under the name uncultured fungus. Its description in RNAcentral is "eukaryotic LSU rRNA". The stretch from base 134 to 287 matches the Rfam family "5.8S ribosomal RNA". Lineage: Eukaryota; Fungi. The record is from RNAcentral.